GUGUUCAUCUAUAUACUAAAUUUGUUAAAUUAUAAUUUACAACUUAUUUCGUUGCUUCGACUGAAUUACGAAAAUUAAUUGACACGACACACUACACGUAUGGAUCACAUCUAACUUGGGAGGAGAAGGACCAUCUUCUCCACUUUCUUGUUGCUGUUGUUCUGGCUUCUAGGGAUACCUUCCCGUAUCAUUUUGGAAUUGGCCAGCCUUAUUCAUUUUACAUGCCACUAGUGCAUAGGUUGAGUCAAGAUGACAUUCGUCGAAAUGUCUUGGUAAGAGUUUCCUAAUUAAGUACGCUUCACUAUUGCAUAAAUGGUGUUGAUUACAUUGCUAACUAGGUUAUUAUUAUGUUCUUCAACAGCAACUGCCACAUGAUGUAGUGCCUCCGUUAAUGGACCCAGAAGGUCAAGUGCGAAUUAGAAGCCCGCUGAGGGCUGAGUUCUAUGCUCCAUACUUGAUUAACUUCAAAUCAAGAUAAAAAAGACUUCAAAUUGAAGCAUGAAGAGAAAUAAAGAAGGUUCGCAAGCCACAAGCUGGAGACCGUUGGAUCUCUGUGAUUCAUCAUGGAGCCAUAGGUCUUAUUCUGUUUUAUGACAUUAUAUCUAAGAACGAGGACUAGGUCUUAUGAGAGACAAGUUAUUCUAUUUUAUAUUAUUACUUGACAUGAUCGAUUAAUUAGGAUGCAUGAUGCAUAUGAUGACUAUAUAUAUAUUAUGAUAUUUCUCUGUUUUAUUUUAUGUGUAUCAUAUGAUAACUUGGUAUAUGAUUAAGUUGAUGAUGAGUUGUUAGAUGAUUGAUUAGAAUACUAUUGCCAUUCGACGAAAAUGAUAUGAAAUGAUAUAGUGUAAAAAAGAUGCAUAUAUGUGCAUGUAACUCGUG
This 879-nucleotide long non-coding RNA is filed under the name Hordeum vulgare. Its description in RNAcentral is "long non-coding RNA (HVUL_LNC013014)". The record is from RNAcentral. Lineage: Eukaryota; Viridiplantae; Streptophyta; Magnoliopsida; Poales; Poaceae.